UUAAGCGACUAAGCGUACACGGUGGAUGCCCUGGCAGUCAGAGGCGAUGAAGGACGUGCUAAUCUGCGAUAAGCGUCGGUAAGGUGAUAUGAACCGUUAUAACCGGCGAUUUCCGAAUGGGGAAACCCAGUGUGAUUCGUCACACUAUCAUUAACUGAAUCCAUAGGUUAAUGAGGCGAACCGGGGGAACUGAAACAUCUAAGUACCCCGAGGAAAAGAAAUCAACCGAGAUUCCCCCAGUAGCGGCGAGCGAACGGGGAGGAGCCCAGAGCCUGAAUCAGUGUGUGUGUUAGUGGAAGCGUCUGGAAAGGCGCGCGAUACAGGGUGACAGCCCCGUACACAAAAAUGCACAUGCUGUGAGCUCGAUGAGUAGGGCGGGACACGUGGUAUCCUGUCUGAAUAUGGGGGGACCAUCCUCCAAGGCUAAAUACUCCUGACUGACCGAUAGUGAACCAGUACCGUGAGGGAAAGGCGAAAAGAACCCCGGCGAGGGGAGUGAAAAAGAACCUGAAACCGUGUACGUACAAGCAGUGGGAGCACAGAGCAAUCUGUGUGACUGCGUACCUUUUGUAUAAUGGGUCAGCGACUUAUAUUCUGUAGCAAGGUUAACCGAAUAGGGGAGCCGAAGGGAAACCGAGUCUUAACUGGGCGUUAAGUUGCAGGGUAUAGACCCGAAACCCGGUGAUCUAGCCAUGGGCAGGUUGAAGGUUGGGUAACACUAACUGGAGGACCGAACCGACUAAUGUUGAAAAAUUAGCGGAUGACUUGUGGCUGGGGGUGAAAGGCCAAUCAAACCGGGAGAUAGCUGGUUCUCCCCGAAAGCUAUUUAGGUAGCGCCUCGUGAAUUCAUCUCCGGGGGUAGAGCACUGUUUCGGCAAGGGGGUCAUCCCGACUUACCAACCCGAUGCAAACUGCGAAUACCGGAGAAUGUUAUCACGGGAGACACACGGCGGGUGCUAACGUCCGUCGUGAAGAGGGAAACAACCCAGACCGCCAGCUAAGGUCCCAAAGUCAUGGUUAAGUGGGAAACGAUGUGGGAAGGCCCAGACAGCCAGGAUGUUGGCUUAGAAGCAGCCAUCAUUUAAAGAAAGCGUAAUAGCUCACUGGUCGAGUCGGCUGCGCGGAAGAUGUAACGGGGCUAAACCAUGCACCGAAGCUGCGGCAGCGACACUGUGUGUUGUUGGGUAGGGGAGCGUUCUGUAAGCCUGUGAAGGUGUGCUGUGAGGCAUGCUGGAGGUAUCAGAAGUGCGAAUGCUGACAUAAGUAACGAUAAAGCGGGUGAAAAGCCCGCUCGCCGGAAGACCAAGGGUUCCUGUCCAACGUUAAUCGGGGCAGGGUGAGUCGACCCCUAAGGCGAGGCCGAAAGGCGUAGUCGAUGGGAAACAGGUUAAUAUUCCUGUACUUGGUGUUACUGCGAAGGGGGGACGGAGAAGGCUAUGUUGGCCGGGCGACGGUUGUCCCGGUUUAAGCGUGUAGGCUGGUUUUCCAGGCAAAUCCGGAAAAUCAAGGCUGAGGCGUGAUGACGAGGCACUACGGUGCUGAAGCAACAAAUGCCCUGCUUCCAGGAAAAGCCUCUAAGCAUCAGGUAACAUCAAAUCGUACCCCAAACCGACACAGGUGGUCAGGUAGAGAAUACCAAGGCGCUUGAGAGAACUCGGGUGAAGGAACUAGGCAAAAUGGUGCCGUAACUUCGGGAGAAGGCACGCUGAUAUGUAGGUGAAGUCCCUCGCGGAUGGAGCUGAAAUCAGUCGAAGAUACCAGCUGGCUGCAACUGUUUAUUAAAAACACAGCACUGUGCAAACACGAAAGUGGACGUAUACGGUGUGACGCCUGCCCGGUGCCGGAAGGUUAAUUGAUGGGGUCAGCGCAAGCGAAGCUCUUGAUCGAAGCCCCGGUAAACGGCGGCCGUAACUAUAACGGUCCUAAGGUAGCGAAAUUCCUUGUCGGGUAAGUUCCGACCUGCACGAAUGGCGUAAUGAUGGCCAGGCUGUCUCCACCCGAGACUCAGUGAAAUUGAACUCGCUGUGAAGAUGCAGUGUACCCGCGGCAAGACGGAAAGACCCCGUGAACCUUUACUAUAGCUUGACACUGAACAUUGAGCCUUGAUGUGUAGGAUAGGUGGGAGGCUUUGAAGUGUGGACGCCAGUCUGCAUGGAGCCGACCUUGAAAUACCACCCUUUAAUGUUUGAUGUUCUAACGUGGACCCGUGAUCCGGGUUGCGGACAGUGUCUGGUGGGUAGUUUGACUGGGGCGGUCUCCUCCUAAAGAGUAACGGAGGAGCACGAAGGUUGGCUAAUCCUGGUCGGACAUCAGGAGGUUAGUGCAAUGGCAUAAGCCAGCUUGACUGCGAGCGUGACGGCGCGAGCAGGUGCGAAAGCAGGUCAUAGUGAUCCGGUGGUUCUGAAUGGAAGGGCCAUCGCUCAACGGAUAAAAGGUACUCCGGGGAUAACAGGCUGAUACCGCCCAAGAGUUCAUAUCGACGGCGGUGUUUGGCACCUCGAUGUCGGCUCAUCACAUCCUGGGGCUGAAGUAGGUCCCAAGGGUAUGGCUGUUCGCCAUUUAAAGUGGUACGCGAGCUGGGUUUAGAACGUCGUGAGACAGUUCGGUCCCUAUCUGCCGUGGGCGCUGGAGAACUGAGGGGGGCUGCUCCUAGUACGAGAGGACCGGAGUGGACGCAUCACUGGUGUUCGGGUUGUCAUGCCAAUGGCACUGCCCGGUAGCUAAAUGCGGAAGAGAUAAGUGCUGAAAGCAUCUAAGCACGAAACUUGCCCCGAGAUGAGUUCUCCCUGACCCUUUAAGGGUCCUGAAGGAACGUUGAAGACGACGACGUUGAUAGGCCGGGUGUGUAAGCGCAGCGAUGCGUUGAGCUAACCGGUACUAAUGAACCGUGAGGCUUAACCUU
This 2902-nucleotide ribosomal RNA is filed under the name Escherichia coli DEC4E. Its description in RNAcentral is "bacterial LSU rRNA". It matches the Rfam family "Bacterial large subunit ribosomal RNA". Lineage: Bacteria; Pseudomonadati; Pseudomonadota; Gammaproteobacteria; Enterobacterales; Enterobacteriaceae. The record is from RNAcentral.